GGUUAACCGUAUAGGGGAGCCGGAGGGAAACCGAGUCUUAAUUGGGCGUUAAGUUGCAGGGUAUAGACCCGAAACCCGGUGAUCUAGCCAUGGGCAGGUUGAAGGUUGGGUAACACUAACUGGAGGACCGAACCGACUAAUGUUGAAAAAUUAGCGGAUGACCUGUGGCUGGGGGUGAAAGGCCAAUCAAACCGGGAGAUAGCUGGUUCUCCCCGAAAGCUAUUUAGGUAGCGCCUCGUGAAUUCAUCUCCGGGGGUAGAGCACUGUUUCGGCUAGGGGGCCAUCCCGGCUUACCAACCCGAUGCAAACUGCGAAUACCGGAGAAUGUUAUCACGGGAGACACACGGCGGGUGCUAACGUCCGUCGUGAAGAGGGAAACAACCCAGACCGCCAGCUAAGGUCCCAAAGUCAUGGUUAAGUGGGAAACGAUGUGGGAAGGCCCAGACAGCCAGGAUGUUGGCUUAGAAGCAGCCAUCAUUUAAAGAAAGCGUAAUAGCUCACUGGUCGAGUCGGCCUGCGCGGAAGAUGUAACGGGGCUAAACCAUGCACCGAAGCUGCGGCAGCGAACGUAUCACCCAAGACAACUUUGCGGAGUUGACGAUUGACGGAGCGAAGCGACGUCAAAGCGUUCAUUAAAGUCGAGUUGGCUU
Molecule: ribosomal RNA, 650 nt
Filed under: Salmonella enterica subsp. enterica serovar Paratyphi B var. L(+) tartrate +
Lineage: Bacteria; Pseudomonadati; Pseudomonadota; Gammaproteobacteria; Enterobacterales; Enterobacteriaceae
Description: partial 23S ribosomal RNA
Rfam family: Bacterial large subunit ribosomal RNA
Source: RNAcentral